Molecule: ribosomal RNA, 468 nt
Filed under: uncultured bacterium
Lineage: Bacteria
Description: partial 16S ribosomal RNA
Rfam family: Bacterial small subunit ribosomal RNA
Source: RNAcentral
GACGAACGCUGGCGGCGUGCUUAACACAUGCAAGUCGAACGGAAAGGCCCUGCUUUUGUGGGGUGCUCGAGUGGCGAACGGGUGAGUAACACGUGAGGAACCUGCCCUUGACUUUGGGAUAACUUCAGGAAACUGGGGCUAAUACCGGAUAGGAGCUCCUGCUGCAUGGUGGGGGUUGGAAAGUUUCGGCGGUUGGGGAUGGACUCGCGGCUUAUCAGCUUGUUGGUGGGGUAGUGGCUUACCAAGGCUUUGACGGGUAGCCGGCCUGAGAGGGUGACCGGCCACAUUGGGACUGAGAUACGGCCCAGACUCCUACGGGAGGCAGCAGUGGGGAAUAUUGCACAAUGGGCGGAAGCCUGAUGCAGCAACGCCGCGUGCGGGAUGACGGCCUUCGGGUUGUAAACCGCUUUCGCCUGUGACGAAGCGUGAGUGAGGGUAAUGGGUAAAGAAGCACCGGCUAACUACGUG